AAAAAAGAUGUGCUGUUCCUGAACAACUCCCUCCCCUUAAUAGAGGCCCUGCAAGCCAAGCCACUGUGUGAAUCAUCUUGCCUUGGUAAAGCCAAACUUAGAUCAGUUAUAACUAUUUCCCUUUCUUCUAUGCUGGCCAGAGCCUAGGCCUGCCUUUAAGUUCCCUAACACUUUAAGCUUCCCUUCCUGCUGUCUGCUGCCCCCUCCCAUUCCCCAGCAGCCUGGCCCUGGUCCCUUCAUUGUCCUCCUCCCUCCUCCCUUCCAGGCAGCUUGGAAGUUGCCGCUCACCUGUCCAGUGGCUUUUCUUUUCAACUCUAAUAAAUUUUCCUGGAACUUCAGUUUGAGUCUGUUCUUCACCUUCCAGCACCUGUUGGUAUAUCUGGUCUUAAAGUCUUUUUAAGGAGACCAAGAACCACACAAGGGAACCUUGAUUUCCCUGGGCAACAUGUGAUGGUUCUAUUGGGACUCUCCAAAAUUUCAGAUAACACUUUCUGUCUUUACUCUCUUAGUUGUCAUAGAAAACAGAUUUGCUCCCAUAUCCCUAGAUGGCAUCGCAUCCUAUAUACUUAUAUGACUGCAGCUUGAUAUCAAUGGACCUACCCAUUAAACAUGACAGCAGUGGACCUGAGCAUUAAUGUGUCUAUAAUACAUUUCUCAGAAAUUCAAACUUGGUCUUUGGCGGGGUUAUUUUAAAUCAUUUAUUUUAUGUGUAUAUCUUUGAUCCACCCUACCCCACCCUCAUAGGUAUCUCUCUGCAUCAUGUGUUUGCAGUGCCAGCUUAGGCCAGAAGAGGGCAGUAGUUCCCCAAGAACUGCAGUUACAGCCAACUGUGAGUGUUGAUGUGGGUGUUGGGAAUCAAUCCUGCCCCCUCUUCAAGAAAAAUUUAAAACACUGAGUUAUCUCUCCAGCCCCAGAAACUAGGAAUUGUGACUUGCCCUACCAUAUCAAUCAAUGGCUUAGGAUUGUUAAUGAUUUAUUAGUUAAUUUCUCAGCUCAAAGUCAAAAAUUCAUUUUUAAAUGAAUUGUCCUCCGCCCCUAUUAGCAAACCGUUACUGUCUUUGGGAUGUAACAUUUUCUGCAAUUAAUUUUUAAUGAGUGCAACCUAAGGCUUCCAGGCAAAACAAAAUUAAUAUGUAAGAUUUAUUAGACAAUUUCUGUAGGAACUAAUGUUCCCUGGGUGACAAGGAGCACAGAUUAUGUGAGGUCUAUUCUGUAAACUCUAAACAAGACAGGAAAUCUCCAUCCUCACGCAAAAUGUUUGUCAUAAUUUUUCUAGAUGAAGCACUGAUUCCAGCAGUCUUUCAGAACUCCAAAUACAGGAUUUGAGAAUUUGCGGCAUUCCAACAUUGUUAAAUUGAAGAGCUUCCUCCUAACCUGCAAUUGGAAAUGACUGGCAUGAAUGUAAGGAUUUAUGCAACAGAUGUGAUGCAGUAGCCUGCUUUAUGGCAUGUACCCAACAAGAAGUAACCAGAACGCUGAGCUGAGCAUGGUAGAGCAAGUCAGAACCUGGAAGUUUCCUUCUACACGUACUCUGGUCUGCCCUUGGGAAAGGACUGGUGCCUUUAUCUGCUAUCAAGUGCAUCACGGACUAUAAAUGAACAGGAACCUGAAGCAAUGGUCCUCUCGCCUCUACAACUGCUUACCGUUGCCGUUGGACCUGACCUUUAUGUCUUGUUGAAUUUAUCAGUGAUUUUGAGGGAAGCUCAUGAUAUCACCUGCAAGAAGCAGAAGGACCUUACAGUGUGGUUAUAAAAGCCAUACAUUUAGGGAGCAGGAAAAUAAAAUAGGAAAUGUUUUCACGUGUACUUCAUUUGCCAUAGGAUUUCCAUAUACUUAAGCCAAUUCCUAGGCAUACACUGCAUAUAGACCAGAAGCAAUCCUUGAGAGUGUAAAAAGGAAAAAAAAAAAGUGACAGUUGCUAAUUGGUUAAUUAGCACUUAACUGAAAUGCCUCUAAAUUUGAACACUCCCAGCUGAACAGUAGGCAGGAAACAAAUUCAAUGCCUUGAAGUGGAAUGCAGGAGGCUGUUCACUAGGGAGCAGCUGGCGCCUGCUUCGCUCCUCAUCCUUCCUGUCGGCAGGGUUUACCUUCCCAAGGAAAUGUGUGAAAAUACACACAGGGAAGAGUGUACCGAAGCAUUUUCUCUGCAGCCCCACCCCGUUCUCUCUUAGCUGAGGGAGCAUCUGAGGUUACUCCCAUUGUCAUCAGACGCACUGCUCCGCGGAUUCAUCUCCAGACUUUCCCGAGCGUCUUGCCAUCUUGUCCAGGUAAUAAGUUAACUGCCUAGAAACAACAAACCAAAGAGAUGCCGCCUUUUUUCUUGUUGAAUAAGCGGUUUCCCUGAUAGUUUGAUCUCUUGUAACCAUAGCAGAACACCUGACAGGUACAAUUUAAGGACUGACUGGCUCAUGGAUUCCGGUGCAGCCCCUCGUGGGUGAGAAGGCUGGACUAAGAGGGCUGAUUGCAUUAAGUCCAGUCAUGAAGCAGAGAUGAGAACGCUUGUGCCCGGCUAGCUUCUUUUUCUUCCUUUAUUCUGUUCAGGACCCUAGCCUACAGCAUGGGGCCACCCACAUUCAGAGUAGGUCUUAAUUCCCUGGAUAAACAUCCCUUUGAAAGACAGGCCCAGAGAUGUUUUUCCUAGGUGAUGCUAAAUCCAAUAAAGUUGACAGUCUGGACUGCCUAUCACAACAGUUAACAAUCACAGAUAGCUGCUUAGCAAAGAGCGACUUAUGACUUAUGUGAUUUCUAGGAAGCAGUACACUCCUACCCCGUGGUAUCUGCGAUGCUGUCACAGACAGAACUGCAGUGGGUGGGGCUUGACAGUCCCUUCCUUCCCACGUCAUUUCAUUUUGAACAGAAGGCUUCACAUCAGGAAUUUGGACUCAAUUUCAGGACACCAGUGUUGACUGUCGCUUGAAACAAGUCCUCGGGAUGCUUGGACGUUAUUUCUGAGAGCUGAGAGGUUCAACUUGGCCAAAGUGCUCACCCAACUUGCAGAGUCUCUCCAGAUAGCUAGAACUACAACCUCCAGGAAGGCUCAAGUGGAUAUUGUCUCCUCAACCAGAGCUCAGCCAGGUUCAGUGUUUUGUCUCAUUCUUGAGUAUGUGUGUGAUCACUCAAAGAAGUCUUCAAAGGGACUCUUGAAAGUUUUCCUGCCUCCAAAUGAAAAAGAAAAUAUUUCCUGCCUUGCCAGAAAAUGGUGAAUAAUCCAGCCCUUACUUUGAGAAGCACCUAGCAACGCUGGAGCCGUGUUUCUUUGCAGAAAGAGUUAGAUGUAUCAGAUGGCUACCCCACACUCUGGGUGUGCUAAUGAUCUACUGCUAGCACUUAAGGUAAUGAAUGGAACAAAUCCUUGUCCAGUCCAGAACAGGGAAAGGACACCCAGGCCUUGGCUGCAUCUAUAGCAAUCAGCUAUGGAUGAACAAACCAUUUCCUAUACGAAAAUCCAGUAUAAGUAUUGGGAGUUCUGAUCAUCUCUCACUUCUGAGCCUUGUCACCUCUCAUCUCCCCGAAGCUGCCUGCUGUCGUCUGUGUAAACUCCCCUCUACACAGUGCAUGGCAGCUCAGUAGCAUCCUUCUUGCUCCCUCCAAGACCAUAAGGUAAAUAUACCCACCAUGCCCAAAUCAGGAAUCAGACCCUCUAACCCUGAAAUACAUAUGGGCUUUGUCCUCACUUCUGCUGAUUUCAAAUGCCACUGAUUCUCUAAGUGUCUUUCUAACUGGCCCCAUGACAUCCCACACCCCAUCAGCCUCCUCCUGCCCUGGGCAACCCUCUGUCUCCCCACUGUUCACCGACACAUAUUUAUUUGCUUAUCUAUUUUCCUCUACAUAUUACCCUCGAGGCAGGAACGAAAGGUGGAGAGUGAGGUCAGAGGCCUGAUACAGAGGCUAUAAAAUUAACAUACACAUAUGAGAAAAGCUGUCCGUCCGACAAAAGAAACUGGAAGUCUUCAGGCUGAGGCUGACUGAAGAUGAGUCAUGGCUGGAACCACUGGCUCAGCAGCAAAGGAACCCUCAGCCUGUCUGAAGCUGGCCUGUGACUCACUAAACCGCCGGAGCCAGGUGUACAGGCAAGAGAAGAAGAAGAGGGAGUUUGGCACCAGCAUAAGCUGAACAACAGAACCUUGUCACAAAACAACAACAAAAUAAUAAACAAGAAGCAACAAGAGAGAACCAGGUGAAUGUCUUCACAGACCAGCUGCUUGCAUGACUAAGCUCUUGGUACACCACGAAAAUAAUGGAUUUCAAGCACCGUCAUAGUGGCUGUGGUCUGUGGGCAACCUGGGAGACUAAAUCAGGUGCGGGGAAUUGCAUGCCAGUGAGAUCACCUGGCAUGCAGGCACAUCUCGAAAAGCACGAGGGGUGGUCAGAAGUCACAGCACAAGUGUAUUGAGUCAUAGUUAAGAUGUGGGUAUUGUACACAGUCUUGUUUUUUUGCUGAUCUGCCUAAAACUUUACAGUUGAAAAUAGUUGCCAUUAAAGUGAUCAAUGGGACUCUUAUCUAAUCUUUUACCUAGAACAAUUGAAAGUAGUCUUCUUUGCCACCCUGCUAUGUAGAAGAAUUCAGUAAGUUAAAGUGAGGAUCUGGGGUCAAUAUAAGCAGUGAAUCUUAGGGUUAAGGGAAAGGGAAAAGAGAAGAUAGAUAGAUAGAUAGAUAGAUAGACAGACAGACAUACACAGAUAGAUAU
This is a long non-coding RNA of Mus musculus (house mouse), 4688 nucleotides long. RefSeq annotates it as predicted gene, 31075. Lineage: Eukaryota; Metazoa; Chordata; Mammalia; Rodentia; Muridae. The transcript is spliced from 5 exons. The record is from RefSeq and is a predicted model, not a curated record.